UCCCUCCCUGGGUUGCUGCCAUUUUAUGUAAGUGUGCAACCCCACAUGCAUCUGGUACAAUGAACGAUCUUGCUGAUUGCAUCAUGACUGGUGGUCUUUUGGGGACUUCUCUCGGACCCUAACAGUCACAACAUAACAAGCAGAUGGUCACUGUACAUUUCCAGGAGGGGAAUUGGUGAUAGUUUGCAGUGUAAACAGUACAAGCCAGUGUGGGACAAAUGAGUUCCAAUUUGACACCCUCUGCUGCCAACUUUGUCCUGCUGGCACAUACAUCUUUAAACAAUGCCAGGAAAACCAUGGUAAGAGUGAAUGUAUCCCAUGUGAAUCUGGAUUCUUUAUGAACCACAAUAACAGUGAGUCUAGCUGUUUUCGCUGCUCUCAGUGUCGGGAUGACCAAGAAGAGGUGUCUGAAUGCUUCCAGACUUCUGAUCGUGAGUGCCAGUGUAAGCAGGGUACCUACUGUAACUCUGAAAACUGUGUGGAGAGGUGCCUUUCAUGCAGCAGCUGUCCUAAAGACAAAGUCAUCAGGCAAUGCAAUGCCACGAUGAAUACACUGUGUGAAAUGUCAGAUUCAGAGUCAGGACAGUCAGGCUUUCAUUGUCUCUGCCUGCCUAAAGCUCUGAAUAUUGUAGUUGUCAUAGCUGCUGUCAUCAUCAUCAUUGCUGCUGUCAUCAUCAUCAUUGCUGCUGUCAUCAAAACCAGUUGGUAUUUUUGUAAAAGAGGGAGUCUAAAUUCACCAUGUGUUCCAGGAGAGGAGAUUCGGCUCUCCUCCAACACGCUAACGGAGUUAUGAAGUUCUAAUGAGCAAACAAAUGACAUUCAUGAAGCUCACUGGAUUUAAAGACAUUGAUUUUCCUGAGCACGAGCAUAGAGGAAGCAGUGAACACAGCAAGCUUGGUAGUGCUUGUGGAAUGUCCCUUUAUGUGGUGUGAAUAUAUGUCACUGUGACCAGUUUAAUAAAGAAGCUGACUAGCCAGGAGCUGGACAGGUAGAGGUUAGGCAGGAGUAAAACUAAGAGGAUGUUGGGAAGAAGAUCAGAGUCUGGAAGUUGCGAGUAGACACAAAGAGAAGCAAGAUGAGCAUGCUGUACUGAGUCUUGUGUCCAAGUCUGAAAGAUCCCCAAAGACAACCAGGGAGAUAAACCCACCGAACCGUAAAAGCAAGGUUUUAUUAUUUCAUCCAACCAUGACAGGGACCUCGUCUAGCUGGCUGAUGCAGCAGCCACCAGAGGAAGCAAAGUUCCCUGUCUACUGCUAAGACAAAAGUUAAGGAUUACAUCAGUAGAGACAGGCCAGCUGCUGGCGCCACCCCAUUUCCUCCAAGAAGACUGGUGGGCACUGAAGAAAGUCCAUCUCACUUUAGUGGCAACGCUAGUCACUGAGCAACCCUGCUCUUCACUUCAACUGCUGCAAAGGACUCUUUGGACCAUGGACAACAGGACAGUGGAAUCAACUUUACCCACAUUGCUUGGGUCAACAGUAGGUCUAAAGAGGUGCCAGAGUUCCUAACAGCCUGAACUAAGAUGAAACAACCAGCUACCCCAGGACGUGGCAGCAUCCCAGCUUUCUCAGGACCCCCAAAGAUGGUGAAUACCCCCAAGGUCAGCAGGAAGCAGCCUUGAGAACUCUACGUCCCCGUUCCCUAACCUGCCACACCCAACUCUCCACCUUUUAUGAUAAACAAGAGUCGGGAUUGUUAGGACUGACACAAGGCUUACGCCACCCCCUGAUGACUGAUGGGGCACACACAGGGACGAGCUAUGCCAUCACCAUAUCACUUGUCACGCAUUACAGACCUGUGUGAGGACAAUGCCCAUGGGUGGAACCUCAGUGAGCAUGUGGGUCUUCCCUUUAAAAGUUCCAACUUCCUCUGCCUCCCCCUUUUUGUCUCUCCUUGGAUUGGCUGACAAUCCACCCCCAUCUCCCUCCCCCCAACUUUUCAAUAAACUCCA
Molecule: non-coding RNA, 1951 nt
Organism: Cricetulus griseus (Chinese hamster)
Lineage: Eukaryota; Metazoa; Chordata; Mammalia; Rodentia; Cricetidae
Source: RefSeq, a predicted model, not a curated record